This 1681-nucleotide long non-coding RNA is filed under the name Amborella trichopoda. RNAcentral's name for it is "long non-coding RNA (ATRI_LNC000996)". Lineage: Eukaryota; Viridiplantae; Streptophyta; Magnoliopsida; Amborellales; Amborellaceae. The record is from RNAcentral.
AACAAUAUAUACCAUUGUUUUCAGUGUAUUUAUAUUUACUAAUGCAUAUAACCAUACAAUACAUUAGUUAUCUAUUGUAUAUAUAAUUAUUAUGUGUGUGUGUGUGUGAUGUCUGUAUAUAUACGAUGUGUACAUACUGAUAUGUGUGUAUGUGUAAAGUGCAUAACUGUAUAUAUACAGUGCAUUAGUAUAUUCAUUUUUAUUUACAUUGAUAUAUAUAACGAUAUAUACACUAUUUAUCAGUUUAUACAGUUAUUAGUAUAAAUGUACAUUGAUUUAUAUACUACACACACACUCACACUCACACUCACGCACAAUCAUACUCCCACCCACACUCUCUCACACACACACUCACACUCACACUCACAAUCACACUCACACUCAUACACACACACGCACACUCAUAUUCACACUAACACUCACACUCACACUAACACUCACUCACACACUCACACUCACACAGACUGACACACUCACACAUUCACACACUCACACGCACACUCACACUCACAGCCACACUCACACACUCUCACAUAUACUCACACACUCACACUCACACUCACACUCACACACUCACACACUCACACACUCACACUCACACUCACACUCCCACUCCCAGUCACACUCACACUCACACUCACACUCACCCUCACACAGACACACUCACAACUCACUCACACUCACAAAAACUAGCACUGACACUGACACUCACGAAUAUGUAUACUAUACAUGCGUGGUGUGUAUGGAUUGAUGUGUGUAUAUUUACGAUAUGUAUAUGCAUAUCUUUUUGCGUAUAUGUAUACAGUUGCUUGUUAUCAGUUAUAUGCAAUUAUCGAUGUAUAUAUACACUGAUAUGCGCACGCACAUGUACCGUUACGCAUGGAUAAGUGCAUAUAUAAUGUGUAUGUAUACACUAAUGCAUGCAUUCUAUAUACACUUACAUAUUUGACCAUAUUGACACUUAUCAGUAGUUUAUAUGUAUAUAUGAUGUGCAUAUAAAUGAUAUGUAUUUACUGAUAUGUUUAUGUGUGUAUGUAUAAACUUGCUAUCAGUUAUAUAUGCACUGAUAUGCGACACACAUGUGCACGCUCACCCAUUGAUAGUGCAUAUAUUUAUUUCUGUGUACACUGAUAUAUAUGACCAUAUAUAACACUUAUUAUCAGUUUAUACACUUAUUAGUGUAUAUAUACAAUGAAAUGUAUAUACACACAUUCAUAUGCAUAUGUAUAAAGGGUUUAUAUGUACACGUAUGUAAAAGACCAUGUAUAUACUUAUUAUCAGUGAUAUAUACAGUUGUUCGCUCAAUUUGUGUACGAAUUGAUGUAUAGCAAUAUAGACCAUUGUUUUCAGUAUAUAUAUACAUACUGAUGCAUAUAACCAUAUAAUACAUUAGUUAUCUGUUAUAUGUAUAGUUAUUAGUGUGUAAAAAAUACAUUGAUAUGUGUGUAUGUAUGCGUGUCAUGUCUAUAUAUAUACGCUGUGUAUAUACUGAUAUGUGUGUAUGUUUAAAGUGCGUAACUGUAUAUAUACAGUACAUUAAUAUAUACAUUAGUAUAUAUGACUAUAUAUACAGUAUUUAUCAGUUUAUACAGUUAUUAACAUAUAUGUAUACUACACACACACUCGCACUCACACUCACCCACACACAUACACUGGCGCUUACACUCACACUCACACUCAC